GUAGGAAAUUUAAAGGGCGUAUGGUGGAUGCCUUGGCUAGAAAAAGCGAUGAAGGACGUGGCGUGGCGGCGAUACGCUUCGGGGAGGUGCCGAGCAACCUUUGAUCCGAAGAUGUCCGAAUGGGGAAACCCUAUCAAGUAUAACUUGAUAAUUCUGCGUAAUAAUUACGUAGAGAGCGUACCCUGGGAAGUAAAACAUUUCAGUACCAGGAGGAAAAUAAACAAAUAUGCAUUCCGUAAGUAGCGGCGAGCGAAAGCGGAGAUAGACUAAACUGAUCGCAGUAAUGUGAUGAGGGUUGCGAGACUGAGACGUUCCAUUUAUGGAAGAGGAGUUACAAAAUUUUUUGUUAGCAGAAUAACCUGGAAAGGUUAGCCCCAGCGGGUGAUAGCCCCGUAUGCGAAAACAAAAAGUCUUCUUUGUUUCAGUUCUCAAGUACACCGGGACACGAAAAGCUCGGUGGAAUCUGCCAGAACUAACUGGCAAGUCUAAAUAUUUUUCUAGACCGAUAGUGAACAAGUACCGUGAGGGAAAGGUGAAAAGCAGCCCGGAAGGGCGUUGAAAUAGACCUGAAACCAUAUGCCUACAAGGAGUCGGAGCGGUCAACACAAAAUAUCUAAGUCCUAAUACCUAAUUUCUAAAAUUCAAAAAUUAGAAAUUAGAAAUUAGAAAUUUGGAUUUUAUGUGUUGACCGUGACGGCGUGCCUAUUGAAGAAUGAGCCAACGAGUUUAUGCAAGCUGCUCGACUAAGGCCGCGAGGCCGGAGUCACAGGGAAACCGAGUCUGAACAGGGCGCUCGUAGUUUGCAUAAGACCCGAAGCCAGAUGAGCUUGCCAUGCGCAGGGUGAAGUUCGCCGAAAGGCGGAUGGAGGCCCGAACCGGUGAGCCGUGCAAAACUCUCGGAUGACGUGUGGUAAGGAGUGAUAAGCUAAUCGAAUCUGGUAAUAGCUGGUUCUCUCCGAAAGAACUUUUGGGUUCGCGUCGGAUGUACCUUUGUGGGGUAGAGCACUGGAAGGUCUCGACAGGUCGAAAGAUCACGAGACCUAUCAAACUCCGAAUACACAAAGUAAUUAUCCGGCAGUUAGACUGUGGGGGCUAAGCUCCACUGGUCAAAAGGGAAACAGCCCGGAUCUCAAUUUAAGGUCCCUAAAUCGAUGUUAAGUGCGCUUAAGGUGGUGAAAUUUCUUAGACAAUGAGGAUGUAGGCUUAGAAGCAGCCAUCAUUCAAAGAUAGCGUAACAGCUCACUCAUCGAGAAAUUUCGCGCCGCAGAUAAUCGGGGCUAAAACAUCGUACCGAAACUGAGGACUGUAUGUUGCUUCGGCAAUGUACAGUGGUAGGAGAGUAUUCGUAUCGCAUUGAAGGUGAAGGGGUGACCCACACUGGAGCGUUACGAAGUAAGAAUGUUGGCACAAGUAACCGCAAUGCGGGUGAGAUUCCCGCACGUCGAAAGAUCAAGGUUUCCUUGGCAAUGUAUAUCAGCCAAGGGUUAGUCGGUCCUAAGGGGAUGGCGAACGCCGCACCCGAUGGAUACACGGUUAAUAUUCCGUGACUUGUACAUAAUGCGAUGGGAGGACGAAGUGUAGUAUUUUACGCGUAUAAUUGGAUUUAACGUCUGUGCUGUAGGGGUGGGUCCUGGCAAAUCCGGAUCCUGACUUUAAUGUCGCAUCCGAGCAGAGCAGAAAUGCCCGCAAGGGUAAAAUGUAAAAAAGCACGCUUUCAAGAAAAGUCUCUAAGCAUAAUUAUGUAUGAAC
RNAcentral lists this ribosomal RNA (1749 nucleotides) under bacterium. Its description in RNAcentral is "partial 23S ribosomal RNA". It matches the Rfam family "Bacterial large subunit ribosomal RNA", at positions 1 to 1642 of the family's 2925-position model. The record is from RNAcentral.